UACGUAGGGUGCAAGCGUUGUCCGGAAUUAUUGGGCGUAAAGAGCUCGUAGGCGGUCUGUCGCGUCGGCUGUGAAAACCCGGGGCUCAACCCCGGGCCUGCAGUCGAUACGGGCAGACUAGAGUGCGGUAGGGGAGACUGGAAUUCCUGGUGUAGCGGUGAAAUGCGCAGAUAUCAGGAGGAACACCGGUGGCGAAGGCGGGUCUCUGGGCCGUAACUGACGCUGAGACACGAAAGCGUGGGUAGCAAACAGG
Molecule: ribosomal RNA, 253 nt
Filed under: uncultured bacterium
Lineage: Bacteria
Description: partial 16S ribosomal RNA
Rfam family: Bacterial small subunit ribosomal RNA
Source: RNAcentral